RNAcentral lists this unclassified non-coding RNA (225 nucleotides) under uncultured bacterium. Its description in RNAcentral is "contains 16S-23S intergenic spacer region". The record is from RNAcentral.
UCCGGUUUGUCACGGCGGUCAGGUACAUGUCAAGCCCAGGUAAGGUUCUUCGCGUUGCGUCGAAUUAAACCACAUGCUCCGCUGCUUGUGCGGGCCCCCGUCAAUUCCUUUGAGUUUUAGCCUUGCGGCCGUACUCCCCAGGCGGGAUGCUUAAAGCGUUAGCUGCGGCACGGAGGGGGUCGACACCCCCCACACCUAGCAUCCACCGUUUAGGGCGUGGACUAC